CCUAGGGGUGGCUGCAGUGGGGAAUAUUGGACAAUGGGCGAAAGCCUGAUCCAGCCAUGCCGCGUGUGUGAAGAAGGCCUUCGGGUUGUAAAGCACUUUCAGUGGGGAAGAAAGCCUUGGGGCUAAUACCCUCGAGGAAGGACAUCACCCACAGAAGAAGCACCGGCUAACUCCGUGCCAGCAGCCGCGGUAAUACGGAGGGUGCGAGCGUUAAUCGGAAUUACUGGGCGUAAAGCGCGCGUAGGCGGUCUGAUAAGCCGGUUGUGAAAGCCCCGGGCUCAACCUGGGAACGGCAUCCGGAACUGUCAGGCUAGAGUGCAGGAGAGGAAGGUAGAAUUCCCGGUGUAGCGGUGAAAUGCGUAGAGAUCGGGAGGAAUACCAGUGGCGAAGGCGGCCUUCUGGACUGACACUGACGCUGAGGUGCGAAAGCGUGGGUAGCAAACAGGAUUAGAUACCCGGGUAGUC
RNAcentral lists this ribosomal RNA (465 nucleotides) under Vreelandella stevensii. RNAcentral's name for it is "partial 16S ribosomal RNA". It matches the Rfam family "Bacterial small subunit ribosomal RNA", at positions 338 to 795 of the family's 1533-position model. The record is from RNAcentral. Lineage: Bacteria; Pseudomonadati; Pseudomonadota; Gammaproteobacteria; Oceanospirillales; Halomonadaceae.